CCCCUUUUAUAGGCGGGGGAGGCAACAGACUGAUGGCGACGUUUGUAACCGCCUGGUAGUGGACCGCCCAUGGUCAGGGAAAUUGAUUGCGAAAGAUAAUGGAGCAGACACGUGGCCAUCACCUCGACCCGCCACGUGGAAUCUGUUGUGAGGGGUGGAGCAGCGUCCGUCGUCAGGAGAAUCACAUGGUAUCCGUCGCAGGAGGUGGAGCAGGUUCGUGGCCGUCACUGUGGCCUGCCAGGGGAUAGUGGAGCUGUGCGGAGUCUGCCACAGGAAGUGGAGCAGGGCGGCUAUGGCCACUGCGGCUUGUCAGGGAAUGAUGGUACUGCACGGAG
RNAcentral lists this long non-coding RNA (335 nucleotides) under Elaeis guineensis (African oil palm). RNAcentral's name for it is "long non-coding RNA (EGUI_LNC026604)". The record is from RNAcentral. Lineage: Eukaryota; Viridiplantae; Streptophyta; Magnoliopsida; Arecales; Arecaceae.